This 29-nucleotide non-coding RNA is filed under the name Rattus norvegicus (Norway rat). The record is from RNAcentral. Lineage: Eukaryota; Metazoa; Chordata; Mammalia; Rodentia; Muridae.
UAGUCUUAGAAUUUCCCAUUCAUGGUCAC